Molecule: long non-coding RNA, 443 nt
Filed under: Sander lucioperca (pikeperch)
Lineage: Eukaryota; Metazoa; Chordata; Actinopteri; Perciformes; Percidae
Description: lncRNA (ENSSLUG00000018014.1)
Source: RNAcentral
UGCCAUCUUUAUGUUCAGCCGUCUGGCCACAGUCCUCCAGGAGCUCUCUGGAGAGGAGGGCCCAGAUGGAGACCCACAGGGCAUGCUGGUGCCUCAGCUCCCUGCCGGUGAGGACCAGGCUCCAGUGGAGUCUGAGGCUCCUGAGGAGGCGAUGGAGAGACUGGCUCACCUGGAACAACUGGUGGUCCAGCUGAAGGAGCUCAUCCGAGACAAAGACACCCAGCUCAUCCAAAAGGACACUGAACUGUCUAACAAAGAUGCACGGCUCAAGAAUGAGAAAGAUGAAGCUGAGGCUCGCUUCACCAAACUCAAACUGCAGGCCAAAGCCAAGAUGGCUUCACUCAACAAACAGAUAACUGAGUUGAAAGGACAUGGAGGACCAACAGUAAGUUUAAAUCGGAUGAAAUAGUCUGUGUUGUGCUUGUAGGAUUAUAACAAAUCUA